RNAcentral lists this ribosomal RNA (221 nucleotides) under uncultured bacterium. Its description in RNAcentral is "partial 16S ribosomal RNA". It matches the Rfam family "Bacterial small subunit ribosomal RNA", at positions 15 to 240 of the family's 1533-position model. The record is from RNAcentral.
GAUCAUGGCUCAGGAUGAACGCUGGCGGCGUGCCUAAUACAUGCAAGUCGAACGCUUCACAUAUGUGAAGAGUGGCGAACGGGUGAGUAAUACAUAAGUAACCUGGCCUUUACAGGGGGAUAACUAUUGGAAACGAUAGCUAAGACCGCAUAGGUGUCAUAACCGCAUGGAGAUGAUAUGAAAUAUGCUACGGCAUAGGUAGAGGAUGGACUUAUGGCGCA